Molecule: ribosomal RNA, 253 nt
Filed under: uncultured bacterium
Lineage: Bacteria
Description: partial 16S ribosomal RNA
Rfam family: Bacterial small subunit ribosomal RNA
Source: RNAcentral
GACAGAGGUGCCAAGCGUUAGGCGGAAUCACUGGGCUUAAAGCGUGUGUAGGCGGAUUUGUAAGUACCUUGUGAAAUCCCACGGCUCAACCGUGGAACUGCUCGGUAUACUGCUUAUCUUGAGCCACUUAGGGGCUACCGGAACAAAUGGUGGAGCGGUGAAAUGCGUAGAUAUCGUGAGGAAUACCAGAGGCGAAGGCGGCUACCUGGACAAUUGCUGACGCUCAGGCACGAAAGCGUGGGGAGCAAAAGGG